Molecule: long non-coding RNA, 1836 nt
Organism: Falco tinnunculus (common kestrel)
Lineage: Eukaryota; Metazoa; Chordata; Aves; Falconiformes; Falconidae
Source: Ensembl
UGCUCCCACCGGCAGUGCUGCAUCCUGCUCUGCGGCCCCAGCACAAGAAGGACAUGGACCUGUUGGAAUGACUCCAGAGGAGGCCACACAGGUGGUCAGAGGGCUGGAGCACCUCUCCGUGGAGACUGGCUGGCAGAGGUGGGGCUGUUCAGCCUGGAGAAGGCUCCAGGGAGACCUUAUAGCACCUUCCAGCACCUAAAGGGGCCCACAAGAAAGCUGGGGAGGGACUUCUUACAAGGGCAUGUAGUGACAGGACAAGGAGGGGUGGCUUUACCCUGAAAAGAGGGCAGAUGUUGGUUAGAUAUUAGGACGAAACCCUUCACUGUGAGAGUGGGGAGGCGCUGGCACAGGGUUCCCAGAGCAGCUGUGGGUGCCCCAUCCCUGGCACGGUUCAAGACCAGGUUGGACGGGGCUUGGAACCACCUGGGCUGGUGGCAGGUGUCCCUGCCCAUGGCAGGGGGUGGGAAUUAGAUGGUCUGUCAGGUCCCUUCCAACCCGAACCAUUCUAGCAUUCCAUUAUAAGACACAGGCAUUAUUUUUCUGCUGGUGCACUCACAUCAUAAAAGCUUUAUCCUGCAGGGCUCAUGAUCUAAAAAGACAAGCUGGGAGAGAUGAAUUUCUCUAUCUUAUUGAUGAGGAAACUGAGGCAUCUGCCUUGGGGAACCUGCCCAGCCGUGGGAGCCACCGAGAACAGCUGCCAUCUUGGGGAGGGAGGAAAGGGGGUCUUCCUGGAAAUGAGAAACUCUUAAAAAUCCAAUGCAGAUAACCAUGUUCCCUGUCUGGCAAACCUGUUUCCAUGCAGGCCAGGAGUUUUUCACCAGCUCUGCUGGAGCGUGGGCAGCUGCACGGGUAAGUCGUUGGACACCACUGCCUGUGUGCUUAUACACAGGGUGGGAAAGCCAGCAGGAGCGUCCAGGCGUGAACAGGAGCAAGAAGAGGUCUGACCUGCAGCACCCUAUGGCUGUGCUCACCAGGAGCAUCGAUUCCACCAGCUCCUGCCUCCCUGCUUGUCAUGAGUACCCACCAGACACCAAAGCAUGCUACAGAGGCACGGGGAGACCUGGGUGCCCUCUGCGCUUGAGGAGCUGCUUUGAACAGACAGAAAAUGAGUCACAGACAGUUCCUAUUGACAGUAAUUACUUGAUUUUUUUGGAAGACAGUCUGUAGAUAAGCAUACUGUCUUGUCACUAUGCUCACGACAGUACUGCGUGGAUGUUCACCCCUCCUGCCCCCAAACUGGCUUUUCACCUCAUUUUACGCAGGUGCGAGCAGGACUGGGCAGCGCUGCACCCAGCCUCAUGCGACCGCAGUACUUUGUUGUGCUGAUGUUGAACUUGGGAUCCUCCUGCUUUGUACUUUCUCUUUGUAGCCAGGAAGCAAAUUCACUAACAACAAAGCUCAUAUCUGCCUGGAGAGGCAUUGAGCUAGAGAUCUCAGGUCUGAAAGACAUGUCCUGCUUACAAAAUAAGGAAGGGACAUUCAGAAAUGACGUUUUUUGACUGGAGUAAUGUGUGGGAGUGUUCCUCUGGGGGGAGAGGGAGCAAAUCAAUUCACAAAGGGACCAACAAUAACAGAUGAAGAAGGUGACUGGGUUUAUUUCUUUGUAUAUGGCAGUAUUUUACUGUAGUGAUAAAAUAAAUGAAAAGGCACAAAAGACUGAUGCUACUGAGAUAACACCACGUUGUCAGCACACACGCGUAUCGAUAUGUUGUAUUACAAGGGGAGAGCCUGAGAAAGCCUCUUUUGAUCGCUGCAGCAAAUGGUGCCUCUAGCUGGGUCACCCAGGGUGAUGCCCCAGUGCAGUGAUGGCUUUGAUGACCCAGUGUAGGUGGGCAG